ACCCUGCGGAGGUAUCAUUA
RNAcentral lists this ribosomal RNA (20 nucleotides) under Gymnopus dryophilus. RNAcentral describes it as "partial 18S ribosomal RNA". Lineage: Eukaryota; Fungi; Basidiomycota; Agaricomycetes; Agaricales; Omphalotaceae. The record is from RNAcentral.